Heterocephalus glaber (naked mole-rat) is the source of this 1141-nucleotide long non-coding RNA. RefSeq lists it as uncharacterized. NCBI's taxonomy places the organism in Eukaryota, Metazoa, Chordata, Mammalia, Rodentia, Bathyergidae. The record is from RefSeq and is a predicted model, not a curated record.
CAAGGGAACAUGUUCAUCUUGAAAGCACCUGGCAGGGAAGGCAUGGAUGGGGCUGGCUUGGUGGAAAGACCCCAUUUCUCAAACCCAGCUUUCUGCACAAAAUUAUUCAAAGGGAAACCUUAUCAAGCAGCCUUCUAGCUCAGUGUCAUCCAUCUUCCAAAGCUCCCCAGAAAACGUGCGAGUGCAGUUUUGCCAACUUCCGAGCAAUCAGUCGCAACGAUGAGUGAGUGUUGGUCUUCAUGGAAUCCAGAACAAAAGCAGAGCAACAUCCUCUUGGUUGUGUGUGUCAGCCACCUUCAUUGCCAAAGGAGACCUCAUAAGAACCUGAACGUCAACAUCAGAAGCAAGAAUCAGUGAGACCAUCUUUGAGCAACCCUCUGGAGGACAAAAUAUUACCUUGGCCACCACUUCUGAGGAUCUGAAGCUCUGAGAAGUCAAGUGACUUGCUCAAGAUCAUACAACUCGUUACAAGACAGAAAUGGGAUUUGAAUUCAGAUGGUCUGAUGAUGAACAAAGUCCAUACUUACAACCAUGAUAAAAGGACAAACAAACCCAAAUGCCUACAGGAUAUUAGACGCGAGGGAAUUGUGGGGAUGGUGGCAAACUGAAGAACUCCUGUCCUCUGUUCAGGAGGGUCCUGAUGCUCCUCACCAUCUGACUGUUGCCAGGUAGGGUCCUCUGAUUUUUUUCUAGGAGGAGCUGAGAAUCCAAAUCUUUACGUGGAAUCUCUUGAUUUUUCAUGGCAGUAAGUACUUUUUAUAUUUUGUAAGUCAUACAUGCCCACAAAUUGAAUUUAGUUUGUGGAUGUGUCAAUUAUGUUAAUUGAGAUUGUCAAUUUGACUGGAUGGAGAGACUCCUGGAGAGAUGAUUGGAUUGUGAGGGAAUUAACCUCAUUAGUGGAUUAAUUCACAGGUGAGGUCAUAGAUGAAUGGGCUAAGGAGGUGGAGCCUAGUUAGAAGAAGUGGGUCAUGGGAGAGUGACUUUGGGGACUACAUGUGGUCCUUAGUGCCUUCCUCUCUCAUUCUUCCCCUCUCUCUGCUUCCUGGGUGCCCUGAGUUGAGCAGUUUUCCUCCGCAAUGUACUUACACCAUGAUGUUUCUGCUUUGGAGCUGAAACCUCUGACCAUGGACUGAAACUGUGA